RNAcentral lists this ribosomal RNA (452 nucleotides) under Paenibacillus taohuashanense. RNAcentral's name for it is "bacterial SSU rRNA". The record is from RNAcentral. RNAcentral also lists the same sequence under 1 other name. Lineage: Bacteria; Bacillati; Bacillota; Bacilli; Caryophanales; Paenibacillaceae.
GGCAGCAGUAGGGAAUCUUCCGCAAUGGGCGAAAGCCUGACGGAGCAAUGCCGCGUGAGUGAUGAAGGUUUUCGGAUCGUAAAGCUCUGUUGCCAGGGAAGAACGCUUGGGAGAGUAACUGCUCUCAAGGUGACGGUACCUGAGAAGAAAGCCCCGGCUAACUACGUGCCAGCAGCCGCGGUAAUACGUAGGGGGCAAGCGUUGUCCGGAAUUAUUGGGCGUAAAGCGCGCGCAGGCGGUCAUUUAAGUCUGGUGUUUAAUCCCGGGGCUCAACCCCGGAUCGCACUGGAAACUGGGUGACUUGAGUGCAGAAGAGGAGAGUGGAAUUCCACGUGUAGCGGUGAAAUGCGUAGAUAUGUGGAGGAACACCAGUGGCGAAGGCGACUCUCUGGGCUGUAACUGACGCUGAGGCGCGAAAGCGUGGGGAGCAAACAGGAUUANSAUACCCCUCU